AAAGAGCUUCAAAUUUACUUAAAGAUUACGGAGAACGAACUUGUUCCUAUUGACACUAAAUAUCUACCAAAAAUGUGCCCAUGAGACUCUUCCUGUAAUGCCCUUCAUAUUCAAGAUAAGCUAUGAUAUGAAAAGAUAACUGGAAAUUACUACAAAAUUCAAUCUUGAAUAAUUUGAGGUCCACUAAGGCACAACACUUCCAGGUCCAAUAUAGAAGUCAAGUUAAGAAGAGAAAUAAAGGGUGAGAGGAGGGGGAUAAGUAGAAACUAUGAGCAAGCAACUCUGCUGUCAUUCCCAUUGAAUAGCAAAUGCUCACACGUUAUUUUUAACACAAUAAAACAUGUCUGGGCAUGUCAACGCAUGCUUCUAAGUUCUAACUACACCAUUACUCAUCUCCAUAGAGUUCAAUCACUGUCAACAAGUCAGUUUUAAAAUGGUUGGAUCAUUCCAUCUUUCAUUUCCUAAGUUUACCGCUCAUAAACAUUAACUGGAAACCAAAGGGUUUGAUUGAACUAUCCAUAUUUACUUUGGUAGGAAGUGAAGAUCUACACAAGAAAAGUGUAGACCGCUCAUAAACAUUAACUGGAAACCAAAGGAUUUGAUUGAACUAUCCAUAUUUACUUUGGUAGGAAGUGAAGAUCUACACAAGAAAAGUGUAGACUCACUCCUCAAACAGUCAUCAACCAAGUCUUUUCGUUUCACUU
Molecule: long non-coding RNA, 704 nt
Filed under: Nicotiana benthamiana
Lineage: Eukaryota; Viridiplantae; Streptophyta; Magnoliopsida; Solanales; Solanaceae
Description: long non-coding RNA (NBEN_LNC032938)
Source: RNAcentral